AUGGCGACGUCCCUGCCGUGCCUCGUCCUCAACUACGGCGACAAGCGGCCGAUGAAGCUGUACGGGGCCUCCGACGGCGAGUUCCGGCCGUGCGAGAUCGGCCCGCUGCUAACCAAGCGGAACUGGGCCACCGCGCAGGGCUGGGUGCUCGCCUGGGACCCUGACACCUCCGCCACCUUUCUGUGGGACCCGCAGGACCCGGAGCACGGCCGGGUCCAGCUGCCGUCGUUGGCGCAAGCUCCGCCGUUGGGUUCGGAAUGUGCGUUGUCCGGUGAUCCCGCCGGCCCCGGGGGCUGCACGGUGGUCCUGGCCGAGCCAUGCGAGAGCACUGUCAUCUGGUACUGCCACGCCGGUUCGACUACAGCGGAGUGGGUCAGGCAUGAGUAUGAUCUUGGAGGCAGGUGGGCCGUGCUCGGAGAAUACCGGGAGUGGAUUAAGGAGCACAUAUCCGGGCUCGUGGCGUGCGGUGGCAAAUUUUACUACCCGGUAUCAGACAAGGAUGAGUGCGGUGUGCUCGAGUUCUCACCGGAGCCGGUCUUCAGCACCGUGACGACCAAGGGGGUCAAGCUCACCUUACCUCCGAGCGGGGAAGUGUGCGUGCAUUGGAACCACUUUCUCUUUGACCUGGACGGCGAGCUCCACGCGCUGUGCAUCUUCUUUGCGGGUCUAGACACUAACGAGGUCGCGGACAUCGCCGUCUACAAGAUGGAUUUUGCCGGGUCCAGAUGUGCUAAGGUGGACAACAUCGGUGAUCGGGCAAUACUUGCUAGUGCAAGCAACCAUGCCGUGGGAUGGUGUUCUGCUAGCAAGUUCGGGUUGCUGCCUAACAGCGUGUAUUGGAUGAGCCGAUACGACAAAUGCUUGCACGUGUAUGACAUCGAAACAAGCACCGAGGAAUUGCGGGUAUGUGAAGAUGUCGCAAAACUAUCGAGGCAGCCAUUUUGGCUGAUACCUACACAUCAUCCAUGA
Molecule: ribosomal RNA, 969 nt
Filed under: Triticum aestivum (bread wheat)
Lineage: Eukaryota; Viridiplantae; Streptophyta; Magnoliopsida; Poales; Poaceae
Description: partial small subunit ribosomal RNA
Source: RNAcentral